AGAAUCCAACCUGGGGCUCAUCAUUGGCUGCGUUGUGGGUGCUGUUGUCCUUGUGAUUGCUGUGAUUGCUGUGACUGCUGGGAUCUUGGUAUAUCACAAGAAACGUCAAGAAGGCUACAAGGCAGCAUCAACAGCCAAAGAUAGAGAGGAAGGCUGGUGCCAGAUGGAUCAACGAUCGUGAGAUCUCCACUUCCAUCCGAUUCCUUUUUUACCUAACCAGAGAGCGGCACUCGGCCCAACGUCAUCCUUAAGGCAAAAUGCGCAGUGGGGGAUGGCCCCCAUUUCCCCCUCAAAUGAUUCUGCAGCCUUUGCUUUUGACAACCUCCCUGCAAGGUAGACCCUCUGCUGUGGAACCUCGACUGCCAAGAGACGUUUCCCCUCCUGCCAGCUCCACCCACUUCCGCCCUCCUCUUGCACACGGACGAACAUUUGGGUGCUUGAGGUCAGGAAUUCACGGCCUUCCUUCAAUAUCCUCCAGGUUCAACAUGUUUCUCUCUUUCUACUCUUCCCUGCAGGAGCCAAAAAAAACCACUGAAUUUUAUUUAAAGAAAAAUAAGGAUGCUUUAACUUUUUAUUUUUAUGGGGCUCUUAAACAACACAGAUAAUACAAGUACAAAACCAUUAUAUAUAGUUUUAUUUUUGAACUAUUAAAAAUAAAACAGCACUAAAAAGAAGAAAAGGGGAAAGAACCUUCCCACCUAAACUUUGUCCGCAGACCCAAGACAUCUAUUGCUGUCCCCCCGCCCCCAGAAGAAGAACCCACAUUGUGAGAUUUCCAGAGAGGGAAGGAAAGAGCCCUCUCUGUCCAGAGAUUCAGUGCGGGGGUCCAGGAAGCCCCCCCACCCUCCAGGUGCUAUCAAAGCACCAUGGCCUGCGUUUCACAUGGCCGUGUGCCUGCAGCCUACCAGGGCACCCAGCAAUGCUGAGUGCCACAAUUCCACCCUUUCUGCCACCCAUCUGCUCUGGACCAUCUGCUUCUCUGAGACAGGAGCAAGAUAGGUUGUGCUGGCUGCAGGAAGCUCUCCUUUCUCCCAGCAAGAGGCGGAGGAGAGCAGGCUGAGAAAGAAGCCCAGGGCUUCCUUGCUCUCCUCCUUCCCCUGCAGGCCCUGCUUCUCCAGGCCGCCCAGCUCUCCCGGCUGCCUCUCCCGGCUGCUGGCAGAAGAACGGUCCGGCCAAGGAGCCAGAACUGAAGCCGUCCAAAGUAGGAACGGAGGAGAACAUCCGGGGUGCAGACUUGCUGCCGGCACUGAAAGCUGGAAACCCAUUUCAGGCCUCUCACGUCCCACUCCUGGUGCUAUGAACGUACUGGGGGGCAGUGAGA
Python bivittatus (Burmese python) is the source of this 1321-nucleotide non-coding RNA. The record is from RefSeq and is a predicted model, not a curated record. NCBI's taxonomy places the organism in Eukaryota, Metazoa, Chordata, Lepidosauria, Squamata, Pythonidae.